Salmo salar (Atlantic salmon) is the source of this 1973-nucleotide non-coding RNA. NCBI's taxonomy places the organism in Eukaryota, Metazoa, Chordata, Actinopteri, Salmoniformes, Salmonidae. The record is from RefSeq and is a predicted model, not a curated record.
UACUCAGUAAUCUCCUCCAUAUAGCCUAACUCACACACAUGCACACUCAUUUAAACAAAACAAGUAUUUAUUUUUGGGUGAUUACUGAUCAGUUCAUUUAUACAUGUAUAAUUAGUAUGUUUUGUUAUCUGUUUUAUUUUGGACUUGUGUAUUGUGUACAGUUUUUAUUGUGGUUUUUAUAUAAUUCUUUGGGCUUCUAACCACACCUGCAAACUGUUUUUUAAAUGUUUUUAUCUGUAUUGUUGUCUACCACUUGUUUUGUUGGGUGCGAGUAAAUAAAACUAGACAGACAGACAGAUAGAGGGGGGAGUAGGGUGUCUGUUAGAUCUGGAACUCUGUCCUUAUCUUUAAAAAGACUCAAAUGGUUUCCCCACAAACCAUCACAAUCAUCAUGCAUGUGUUUCAGAGCAUCUCUGCUUUUCAGUGUUGUUGUAUGCAUUCAGCUGUUUCCUUUGGUGAUGAGUGGUGACCUCAGGAAUAAAGAUUGUCCUCUGUCUGUCUCUCUCUCUCUCUCUCUCUCUCUGUAUGUGUGUCUUUCUCUGUGUCUCUCUUUCCCUCUCUCUCUCUCAGGUCUGGAGCUGAACGGGAUGGGGGUUGAUAAAGGGGAGACUCCUCCUCCCCUGCCCGUGAAGGGCAUCUCUGCUGAUUAUGGGAACCUGCUAGGAGAUAAUCAAGACUUGACGAGUCCCUCCACCCCUCCCCUGACACACCAUCAAAGGCAUCUGCCACCACCUCUUCCCAGCAAGACCCCUCCUCCCCCUCCUCCUAAGACCACCAGGAAACAAGCCUCCAUCGAUUCAGGAAUUGUACAAUGAACAAUGACAUUAAGACACCCGAUAUAAAAAAACAAGGUUCUUUCCCCUCUGUAAUCUCUUCCCCCCAUGCGUUCCAAAAUGGCGGCCUAUUUCCAAUAGUGCACUACUUUGGACUACUUUUGACCAUAGGGCUCUGGUCAAACGUAGGGCCACUAUAUAGUGAAGAGUGUGCCAUUUGGGGAAACAGCAACAGUCUGACCAGGAGUGAAAGAAGAGUAUCUCACUCAGGUAACACUCCUUAUUGAGCCACUCAUUUUGGCUGUGUCCCAAACGGCACCCUAUUCCCAAUAUAGUGCACUACUUUUGACCACGGCCCCGAUAAGGCUCUGGUAAAUAGUAGUUCACUACGUAGGGAAUAGGGUGCCAUUUGGGGCAGAGCCUCAUUGGAUUCUUUCAUUUUUGCCUCAAGUGUGAUGAUGCGGUCUACUUUACCGUAGGUAGAUAGGUGAAUCAGUUUCACAUGAUUACUGGUCACUGAAUUUAUUGAUGCUAUCUAUCAUCUAUGACUCUAUUCUCCACUUGAUACCACUUAGUUCAGGCCUUUGUAAUGCUAUGAGGUCGUGUUCCACCUAUAGAAUUAGAAUGAGUGAAAUGAAUAUAGAAUCAGAACCAGGUGAAUGAAGCGUUCUCUGGUUCUGUCUUUUACACUUUGACCAAUAGACAGGCUGGUGAGUGACGACCAACGUUCUGACCCUUCCCACCUGCUCUUAGAAACCGGGGAGCACAUAGUAACAGAAACAUGCUUUUUAUUCUGUGGUUUAUCUUUUGUAUCCAUAGUUACAGAAAACAUCAUUUUAUUCAGUGGUUUAUCUUUUUUUAUCCGUAUUCCCGCUUUGUACAGAGGUUUGUAUAUAGGAUUUCAUUUUUUAUGUGGAAUUUAUCAUUACUUUUUUUGUAUUAACAUUGCAUUAGAUUAACUGGUUUUCAUUUAUAUCCCCCAAAAAAUGUUUUUUAGGUUUUUAAAUGACAGGGACUGUAAAGAAUUGGUAUGUGAGAAAUCUGCCUAUCAUUGAUUUUAUUGGUAAGGUUUGUGUUUUCUUUGGAGUGAACACAACUAACUCCCUCCUUCAUCAUACAUUGUCAUUGUAUAGGAUUUUAAUGCUGUAACAUUGACUGUUUCCAAUUCACUACUGACUUCUGAAUAAACUUUCAACUGUA